This 71-nucleotide transfer RNA is filed under the name Phlaeoba albonema. RNAcentral's name for it is "tRNA-Val". It matches the Rfam family "tRNA". From Rfam's summary of the family: Transfer RNA (tRNA) molecules are approximately 80 nucleotides in length. Their secondary structure includes four short double-helical elements and three loops (D, anti-codon, and T loops). Further hydrogen bonds mediate the characteristic L-shaped molecular structure. tRNAs have two regions of fundamental functional importance: the anti-codon, which is responsible for specific mRNA codon recognition, and the 3' end, to which the tRNAs corresponding amino acid is attached (by aminoacyl-tRNA synthetases). tRNAs cope with the degeneracy of the genetic code in two manners: having more than one tRNA (with a specific anti-codon) for a particular amino acid; and 'wobble' base-pairing, i.e. permitting non-standard base-pairing at the 3rd anti-codon position. Lineage: Eukaryota; Metazoa; Arthropoda; Insecta; Orthoptera; Acrididae. The record is from RNAcentral.
CAGGACAUAACUUAAUAGUGAAGUGAUUCAUUUACACUGAAUUUAAUUCUGUGCAAUUCAGGAUGUCUUGA